UAAUAGUCUCUUGAUUAUUUUUGCAUCUCUGCUAAUGAAAGAUAUUGGUUUGUACUUUUCUUUCCCUAGAAUAGUCUUUAUCUGGUUUUGGUAUUCAUUUUUAAUGGUGGUAUUUCUAGUUUAUGAAUUGGUACUUUUAACAAUGCAGUGGCUUCUAUUUUAUUCAAUUAAAUUCAAUUUGAUUUAAUUCAGUUUGAUUCAACUCAAUACCAUCAUUAAAUAAUGUAUAAGGCAGUCUGAUAUGUACUGAGGCAGAUGCAGAGAUAGAUAAAACAGAUUCCAGACUUCUUGAGUUUGGCAAUCAGAUUGAAUAUGUUUCCUUAUAAUACCAAACUCUAGAUCAUAUUAGUUGGUAAAGAAUGAAGAAAGUUCUUUAGAAGCCAUUUAACAAAGCUUUGGUAGACAAAUGAAUUUACGUAGGUACCUUAGAAUAUUUGCUCUUAUCGAGCAUGGAUUUUACCUAUUUUUGUUUCUAUUGUACCCCGGGCUAGAAAAGCUCCGUGUAUAUAGUAAAUACUAAGGAUAUUUUUGGUGAACAAAGGAACAUAUUGUUGGCAUAUUUCUGGAUGAUGAUCUGUAAGUGGUACUCUGAAUCUGGGCAUCUUUAACUGUCCUCAAAAUGUUUUUAAGUGCUAAAUUUAAGUGUUUUUCUUGAUCAUUUUAUGUAUAACUUUCAUCACAACAUGUUUUUCUUGUGACAACAUUUUAAUAUCAUUGCAGUUGCCAACUAUGAAGAUUUUUAAAAUUAUGUUUUGAUAUAUUUUUAUUGAUUCUGAGAGGGGAUAUAAAGAAAAUCAUUUUAUUACCAAAUUGCUCUAUUUCCUCAUCACAAAAAGAGGUUCAUUCUUAUUUUGAUGAUGUUCUCACCUCAGCUCAUACACAGUGCCGAGUCCUUUCCCUUCUCAGUGAAGUCACUUACAGAGAGCACAAUCCAAUCAUUACGUGCACUACCUUAAGUUAAAAAAAAAAUGCCUUUUCACUGACCUAUGCUUUUUUUUCUCCCCAGAAUUAUGCCUCUACUGUUCUCUUAGUUUCUUUGCUGUACAAUAAAGUAAUUGGCUACAUGUACCUAUUGGGGACUUAAAAUAUGGCUAGUGCCACAAAUUGUAACUAUAAUAUUUUCCAUAUAUUGGGUUAAAUUAAAUGUAUUAUUAAAAUAAAUCUUACCUGUUUGUUUUACUUUUUAAAAUGUAGCUACCAAGAAAUUUAAAAUUACGUAUGUGGCUCUUCACAUAUUUCUAAUGAACAACAUUGGAGACUCUUAAGGGAAUGAAAUGGACGUUCUUACUCAUCAUACCAUAAGCAUCCAGGUGAAUGAUUGCUCACUUCUUUCAUCUAAUGAGGAAUUGGCUUUCUUGAGAAUCUCAAUGCAGUGUACCUCCAACCUUAACAGACUGCUGUAAAACACCCUGACCAUUCUUUAGUAUAAGCACUGAAGAAGACAGUAUGUUGACCACGAGGCACCUGGCCUGGCUCAUAGUAUGCCAUCAAGAAAUGCUAAUUUUCUAUUUCCUCUUUUUCAAAGAGUUAUUUCAAGAAAGAAAGGAGAGGAGAGGAUGUUACAAAUUCCAUGUAAAUAAAAUUUGUCACUAAUUCUGUGAA
Molecule: long non-coding RNA, 1602 nt
Organism: Homo sapiens (human)
Lineage: Eukaryota; Metazoa; Chordata; Mammalia; Primates; Hominidae
Exons: 2
Source: RefSeq, a predicted model, not a curated record